Molecule: long non-coding RNA, 4719 nt
Filed under: Callithrix jacchus (white-tufted-ear marmoset)
Lineage: Eukaryota; Metazoa; Chordata; Mammalia; Primates; Cebidae
Description: lncRNA (ENSCJAG00000070019.1)
Source: RNAcentral
AGGAUUUAUUUAUUAAUUAGUCAAUAAUAUUAUUUACUCUUAAACCAAACAACAUACUUUAUGGGUGUUUCAUGGUAUUUAUACUAUAGAAAUAUUGGCAGAUAAUAUUUUAAUAGGAAUUCAAGCUCUUAGGCAAGGUCAACAGUUGCUCUUCUCACUAUCUAUGAAAAAUAAAAUUAAAAAUAAUACUCUGUUUUUAAUGAUGUUUUUUUAAAGCACAAGAAGUUAGUCAUCAACAUUCUUAUUGCAACAGCAUCCUAAAUGUCAUGUGGUUACAAUAGGAAUGAAAACCACUUUGCAGAUUGCCAAUAAAGACAUACCAAGACUGAGGAAUUUACAAAAGAAAAUGUUUAUUGAACAUGAUUGUGAGGCUUUCUCACCCACAUGGUGUCAGACAAGAGAAGAAGGCUUUGGCAGGGAAACACCUGUUUUUAAAACUAUUAGAUUGCCGGGCAUGAUGGCUCAUGCCUGUAAUCCCAGCACUUUGGGAGGCCAAGGUGAGUGGAUCACCUGAGGUCAGGAGUUUGAUACCAGCCUGACCAACAAGGUGAAACCCUAUCUCUACUAAAAAUACAAAAAUUACCCAGUCAUAGUGUCAUGCACCUGUAAUCUCAGCUACUCGAGAGACUGAGACAGGAGAAUCACUUGAACCUGGAAGAUGGAGUUUGCAGUGAGCUGAAAUUACACCAUUGCACUCCAGCCUGGGUGACAGAGCAAGACACUCCAUCUCAAAAAAAAAGAAAACAAAAAAACAUCAGAUCUUGUGAGACUUAUUCACUAUCAAGAGAACAGCAUGAUAAAGACCUACCUCCACGUUUGAAUUACCUUCCACCAAGUUCCUCCCACAAUACAUGGGAAUUCAAGAUGAGAUUUGGGUGGGGCCACAGACAAAUCAUAUCACUAGAUUAGCACUUUUAAUUUCCUUCAAGAACUUAUUGUUUUCCAUCACAACUUAGCUGUUUAGCACAAGAGACCUAGCUUUCAGCCUAUCUCAGCUUUUGACACAACUUCCUCACUAAGCUUAAUCAUUUCUAGCUUCUGAUUCAAAGUGAGAGGUGUACAACUAUUCCUUUCACUUGAACUCUUAGAGGCCAUUGUAAGGUUAUUUAUUGGCCUAAUUUCAAUUUAGUUGUGUCUCAGAGAACAGGAGGGUUUCAAGAGAGAGAGAAAGACGAGAAUGACUCUUUGGUGGAGCUUCAGAACACACACAAUAUUAAUCAGUUAAAUAUUCAUUUUAUAUGGGCACAAUUCAUAAUACACCCCAAAAGUUAGAAUAGUAACACCAAAGAUCAUGAAUAAUCAACAUAGCAGAUAUAAUAAUAAUAAAAAUGUUUGAAAUGUUGUGAAAAUUACAAAAAUGUGACAUAGAGACACAAAGUGAUCAUAUGCUGUUAGAAAAAAAUGGCUCUGAUUGAAUUGUUUCACACAGGGUUGCCAUAAACCUUUCACUUUCUAAAAUAUGCAAUAUUUGCAAAGUAAAACAAAAAGAAGCUCAAUAAAACAAGUAUGUUUGUCAUUACCUUAUUAAGCAGAACCUUUUGUUUAAUCCCCAAUAUGUUCUUAAAUCUUACAUAGUGUCUAUAUUGCUCUCUUUGUGUUCUAUUAAUCUUGCUUAUGUGGUAUGGCAUGCCCUGCAUAGUAUGUCAUAAAUAUUUAUUUUCAGCCUAGAUAUCUGUUGUUAGAAUUGUCAUUAUUGCAUAGAAUAUAGAAUAGGAACCUGAGCAAGAGAUCGCAUGACGGGGCAAACUAUCAGGAAAGAUUAAAGACAGUCUCAAGCUCCUCACAACUCCUGAAUGAUAGGAAAGAACAUAUCAUUAUCCCCAGUAGGCCACUGUUUAUAUUCCCCAAAGUUCUGCGGGUACGUAGUGGUUCCAAAGCUAUUGGAGAGCAUGGCACAGCUUCAUUUGUAUCAGAUGAAAAUGGACAUAUGUGGCCAAUUGGAUAUAAGAAAGAUGUGGUAAAAACUCUUGGGAGUUCUCAUAUACAUACAGAAUUGCUGAGAAUAAGGGCUGUUACAAUUGGAUUUGUCAUGUUUUGCCCAUGUAAGGCCUCCUGACUUUAAGCUAGAUUGACCAUAGAAUUUUGCAGAAAGAGUAAAAUAUAGGAUAGGUAUGAAAACUUCUGACUCAACAAAGACAUGGACAGCCAUAUUGGCAGAUAUUUUACCCAAUUCUAUCCCAUUUUUCAUUCUGAGCAGGCCAGCAACAUGGUCACGAGAGGUAGAGAAAAAGUCAGCAAGCAGAUUGCUGUGGGCUGGGAGCACUGCCCAAGUCAUGAAAGGGUGUUUUAAUGAACAGAAAUGGAGAAUAAUGGUAAAUUCUCCAUCCCUGUAAAAUGUCUAUUAAAAAAUGAUUAAUUGGUAAAUCAUUUUGACAAAGGUGGGAUAAAAUAUGUUAAAUGAGUGAGGUUUUAAUAGUCAUUUUAAAUUCAAUUUAUUGGGAAGUUCUGAGAUAGCAAAAAUUCUUAACUGGUAUAUUUAAAAUUUGACAUUAUAUCUUUUAAUGUCAACUUAGUUCAGAAAUUUGGGAGCUUUGGAAUAAAAAUGUGAUUAGUUAUUAUUAAAUGUGAGGAUAUUUUUGUUUAUGCAAGGCUAUUAUUUUCAUUACACUGGAAAUACAUGUAAAUCACAUCAUUUAUAUAAUGCAUAAGACAUACAUCAUAAUACUUAAAUAAGAUGAUUCAAAUAUUGUCUUGUCCAGAGUUCCCCAAUAGCAAUUCUUAGAAAACAAAAUACAAGGUAAGAGUUUUUCUAAAAUCUGGCUCAUGCUGUGGUAAACACAAAUUAAGCAUGCUCUUUUAUUACAGCAAUGUUUUUUUAUAGUGGCAAUGUGUGAAUUAUCAACCUCCAAGAUAAUCCUAGACUCCAUUCCAAAACACAACAUAUUUUUAUAGAUUAUUAUAUAUACCAAUGAUUGUGAUACAUUCAAUUUUAUAAAUUCUUAUUUACUUAUAUUUCUAAUUUUUCCACUAGGGAAUCCAAUGAAAUAAUAAAUUAAAUAAAUAAAUAAAUAAAAUGGAACAGAAAAAUAUUUGGAAAAAGACAAGAAUUUAACCUUAAUUAUGUCACACUGUUAACCUCACUACAGUUCUCACAUCACCUCUUUUAAUUUACCAUGGUGUUCUAGAAAAAAAUUUGGAUGCCUUUUCAGCUAACUUUUUAACAAAAUCAAAGUAUAGAUUUCUCCUUUAAUUAAGCUCACUACCAGUCUCCUGUUUGCAUGUUAUAUAAAAUAAUUCUACUCAUCUUUACUUUUUUUAAACUUAAAAAUGAAAUUUUGCUUUUCUCAUAACUGGGUGCUGAUAUUAUAAUUUCACAAACUUAAGUUAUCUAAUUAUGAAAUAAGUGUUAUAAUUACAUUUUAUUCUUUAUUCAAAGAAGCAUUUUCAAAGUUUUCCUGUUGAACAUCAUUUAUAUUAGAAUUUUAAAAACAUAGAUCUUACCUGAAACCCAGGUUAGCAAGACUGUAUAUUCCAUUUAAACUGGAGUUACCUGCAUGUUACUGUACUUUAUGCCAAAGUAUCAGAUUCCUUGAUAUCACCCAUAACAAUGAAGUAGAGGCAAACAUCUUUACAUAUUCCCUUAUCCCUUAUUUACCAAACAUACCACUGUUAUACUUCUGUCAUUGAGUUAACAUUUGCAUCUAGAUAAAUGAUAUUGAUGUGCAUGUAUAUUACUUGAUAUAUAAAAUUAAUUUCACUAAAGGAAAAGUGCAUUCUAAUACACUGCAGUAAAGAAUAUUUCACAGAGUAUAACUUGACCUAGAAUAACUGGCAAAACAAUUAUUCUCUAAAAUGUCAGCCUUGGAAUUACAGGUAUAAUAGGUAAAGUUUAUAAAAAAUAAAUAAUUGUAAAAAGGGCAUAAUAACUACUUUGGAAUAAUUAGUAAAUUCAUUUUUUUAAACCUGUAUUUAUUAAGUGCUUAUAAUGGGUCACACAAGGUGCUGAAGAUACUGGGUUAAGAAAAUAGUAUCUCUCCUUAAAUUACUAUUAAUAUUAUUAUUAAUUUUUUUUUUUGAGAUAACGUCUUGCUCUAUUGCCCAGGCUGGUGUGCAGUUGUGUGAUUAUACUUACUGUAACCUCCAACUCCUGGUUUCAGGCUACCCUCUCAUCUUGGCCUCAGCAUUGGGAUUACAGAAAUGAACCACUAUACCCGGCCCUCAUAUUGUUUGUAGAUAAGAUAGACCUAUGCCCUGUUUUCCCAGUAAGCUACAUAUCUAUCUGUCCUUUAAAAUCAAAUUUAUGAAUACAAAAGUUAGCCCUGGAUGGUGGUGCGUGCCUGCAAUGCCAGCUACUCAGAAGACUGAGGUAGAAGAAUCCCUGGAACCUGGGAGGCAGAUGUUCCAGUGAACCGAGAUCAUGCCACUCUGACCUGGGUGACAGAGCAAGACUCCAUCUCAAAAAACAAAACAAACAAACAACAACAGUAACAACAACAACAACAAAAUUUAUGAUGAUUCCUUUUACUCUCAAAUGGACCAUAGCAUGUAUGAUCAGUUAUAUGACUACUCCAUUUACAAACUAUUGUUACAGAGUGUAUAUUUCUUAUACGGUAUAAAGAAAUAUUGAAAUAGCUUGAAUUUUAUCCUACUUGCAACCAUUAAAGGAACUUUAAAAAAAAAUCUCAUUGAAAACUGAAUAAAUACCUGACCACCUAUCAAAAGAAUCAAUCUUAUGUCACAGAAAUCAGUACAUUAAUUCUAUCCAGUAGUGUUAAAUCC